This 253-nucleotide ribosomal RNA is filed under the name uncultured bacterium. Its description in RNAcentral is "partial 16S ribosomal RNA". It matches the Rfam family "Bacterial small subunit ribosomal RNA", at positions 524 to 776 of the family's 1533-position model. The record is from RNAcentral.
UACGUAGGGUGCGAGCGUUAAUCGGAAUUACUGGGCGUAAAGCGUGCGCAGGCGGCGCGUUAAGACAGGUGUGAAAGCCCCGAGCUUAACUUGGGAAUUGCGCUUGUGACUGGCGUGCUGGAGUGUGGCAGAGGGAGGUGGAAUUCCACGUGUAGCAGUGAAAUGCGUAGAGAUGUGGAGGAACACCGAUGGCGAAGGCAGCUCGCUGGGACGGUACUGACGCUGAGACGCGAAAGCGUGGGGAGCAAACAGG